This 698-nucleotide ribosomal RNA is filed under the name uncultured Lachnospiraceae bacterium. Its description in RNAcentral is "bacterial SSU rRNA". It matches the Rfam family "Bacterial small subunit ribosomal RNA", at positions 36 to 734 of the family's 1533-position model. The record is from RNAcentral. Lineage: Bacteria; Bacillati; Bacillota; Clostridia; Lachnospirales; Lachnospiraceae.
CUGGCGGCGUGCCUAACACAUGCAAGUCGAACGAAGCAAUCAGGAGGAAGUUUUCGGAUGGAAUCCUGGUUGACUGAGUGGCGGACGGGUGAGUAACGCGUGGAUAACCUGCCUCACACUGGGGGAUAACAGUUAGAAAUGGCUGCUAAUACCGCAUAAGCGCACAGUACCGCAUGGUACGGUGUGAAAAACCCAGGUGGUGUGAGAUGGAUCCGCGUCUGAUUAGCCAGUUGGCGGGGUAACGGCCCACCAAAGCGACGAUCAGUAGCCGACCUGAGAGGGUGACCGGCCACAUUGGGACUGAGACACGGCCCAAACUCCUACGGGAGGCAGCAGUGGGGAAUAUUGCACAAUGGGCGGAAGCCUGAUGCAGCGACGCCGCGUGAGUGAAGAAGUAUCUCGGUAUGUAAAGCUCUAUCAGCAGGGAAGAAAAUGACGGUACCUGACUAAGAAGCCCCGGCUAACUACGUGCCAGCAGCCGCGGUAAUACGUAGGGGGCAAGCGUUAUCCGGAUUUACUGGGUGUAAAGGGAGCGUAGACGGCGACGCAAGUCUGGAGUGAAAGCCCGGGGCCCAACCCCGGGACUGCUUUGGAAACUGUGCUGCUGGAGUGCAGGAGAGGUAAGUGGAAUUCCUAGUGUAGCGGUGAAAUGCGUAGAUAUUAGGAGGAACACCAGUGGCGAAGGCGGCUUACUGGAC